Molecule: ribosomal RNA, 292 nt
Filed under: uncultured bacterium
Lineage: Bacteria
Description: partial 16S ribosomal RNA
Rfam family: Archaeal small subunit ribosomal RNA
Source: RNAcentral
GUGCCAGCCGCCGCGGUAAUACCGGCAGCCCGAGUGAUGGCCGAUCUUAUUGGGCCUAAAGCGUCCGUAGCUGGCUGCGCAAGUCCGUCGGGAAAUCCACUCGCCCAACGAGUGGGCGUCCGACGGAAACUGCACAGCUUGGGACCGGAAGGCUCAGAGAGUACGUCCGGGGUAGGAGUGAAAUCCCGUAAUCCCGGACGGACUACCGAUGGCGAAAGCACUUCGAGAAAACGGAUCCGACAGUGAGGGACGAAAGCCAGGGUCUCCAACCGGAUUAGAAACCGUGUAGUCC